AAUAUGUUUGUAUAUAUAUGGGAAACGUAGUCCCCAGUUAAUGGCUGGAGCAAGUUCCCAAUCAGUAACUCCUCACACAACACCAUCUUUUCUUUUGGAUCCACCACAGAAUGCAAACGCGCAGUUAUUUCCGGGGCUACAGAUUGGCAGGAAACCAACCAUGUGCCUAGCCCUAGAGAGUCUCAGAUGCGUGGCUGUAGUUUCUCAUUACUGAGAAAAAAGAACUCUGCGCGUCCUCAGAGGUGCCGUCUUUAUUAAUCCGCCACAUAUUCCUGCGUUGACCUAUGGGAUUUUUUUUAAAGGCUGCAGGUACAGAGCAUGGUAAUCAGUCACUAGCUUAAGUUAAGCCGAAAUGGAAAUCUCUCGUCUCGUCUACAUUCUUCUCGACGAUCUUUCUUCUUCCAAGCCAAUGGUUCCUGCAUCAUAAAGAGAAGGCGGGAAUCUGAAACGGUUCGUUAACUGAGGAACCCUUUCUCAGUGAGUAGCCCAGAAGUCCACCUCGAUUGGAAGCCACGCCCGAAAACUCAAGUCUUUUGCCCGCUCAUCGCAAGACUCCGGGGCUAAAACCCAAGGUCCGUUCAGCUCAGCAUUGCCACCCAGUGGCCAACGAAACCCAUAACACUCAGUCGAUCUUUCCCCAAAAGAUGUUGGCUGAGGCGUUGUUUGCUGUGCGUGCCCAGCCCCAAAUAAGGAAUUUUAAAGUUAAAACUUAAAACAAGAUACACAGACUUGUAGGCGUUUGAAAGAGCUGUUCCCCAAGGGCCUGCCUGAGCAAUUUAUAGUAACCGUUCCAUAUUUACAUCUGGAGUGCCUAUUAGCAAUCUGCAAGUCCCAUAGGUGGUUAAGAGGCAAUUCACAGACUGCUUAUUUCUGCCCUACAAACAUCCCAGCCCUUCAGGACACCUAUGAACUGAUGUAUUAGAACAGUAAAAGUGUGAGUUCACGCCACAAUAACUGUAAAUUACUCAGGAGUGAGCCCAGCUGAAUUCCAUGAGGAAUGCUUCCUGAACAUGGGUAAGGUAGAGGGAUAUUAAGUGGCCAAGGACCUGAGAGACCAGGGCUAAAAUCACCAUUUGGUCAUGAAGUUCACUUGGAGGAAACAUGGAACGGAUGCAAACUCA
Long non-coding RNA from Rhineura floridana, 1121 nucleotides. RefSeq lists it as uncharacterized. NCBI's taxonomy places the organism in Eukaryota, Metazoa, Chordata, Lepidosauria, Squamata, Rhineuridae. The record is from RefSeq and is a predicted model, not a curated record. The transcript is spliced from 5 exons.